GGAGUUUGGACCGUGUCUCAGUUCCAAUGUGGGGGACCUUCCUCUCAGAACCCCUACUGAUCGUCGGCAUGGUGGGCCGUUACCCCGCCAUCUACCUAAUCAGACGCAUCCUCAUCCGUCGCCGAUAAAUCUUUACUGUGUCCGAGAUGUCUCAAUCACAGACCAUCAGGUAUUAAUCUUUCUUUCGAAAGGCUAUCCCCGAGCCAUGGGUAGAUUGGAUACGUGUUACGCACCCGCGCGCCGGUCGCCAUCAUCGGUUGCAAGCAACCGACAUGCUGCCCCUCGACUUGCAUGUGUUAAGCCUGUAGCUAGCGUUCAUC
Molecule: ribosomal RNA, 320 nt
Filed under: uncultured Bacteroidales bacterium
Lineage: Bacteria; Pseudomonadati; Bacteroidota; Bacteroidia; Bacteroidales
Description: partial 16S ribosomal RNA
Source: RNAcentral